AGUCCAGACUCCUACGGGAGGCAGCAGUGGGGGAUAUUGCACAAUGGGGGGAACCCUGAUGCAGCGACGCCGCGUGGGUGAAGGAGUAUUUCGGUAUGUAAAGCACUAUCGGCAGGGAAGAAGCAAGACGGUACCUGACUAAGAAGCCCCGGCUAACUACGUGCCAGCAGCCGCGGUAAUACGUAGGGGGCGAGCGUUAUCCGGAUUCACUGGGUGUAAAGGGAGCGUAGACGGCGGCGCAAGUCCGGAGUGAAAGCCCACGGCCCAACCGUGGGACUGCUCUGGAAACUGUGCGGCUUGAGUGCGGGAGGGGCAGGCGGAAUUCCUAGUGUAGCGGUGAAAUGCGUAGAUAUUAGGAGGAACACCGGCGGCGAAGGCGGCCUGCUGGACCGUAACUGACGUUGAGGCUCGAAAGCGUGGGGAGCAAACAGGAUUAGAUACCCGGGUAUC
Molecule: ribosomal RNA, 450 nt
Filed under: uncultured bacterium
Lineage: Bacteria
Description: partial 16S ribosomal RNA
Rfam family: Bacterial small subunit ribosomal RNA
Source: RNAcentral